This 377-nucleotide ribosomal RNA is filed under the name uncultured bacterium. Its description in RNAcentral is "bacterial SSU rRNA". It matches the Rfam family "Bacterial small subunit ribosomal RNA", at positions 521 to 896 of the family's 1533-position model. The record is from RNAcentral.
UAAGACAGAGGUGCCGAGCGUUAGGCGGAAUCACUGGGCUUAAAGCGUGUGUAGGCGGACAAUUAAGUACCUUGUGAAAUCCCACGGCUUAACCGUGGAACUGCUGGGUAUACUGGUUGUCUUGAGCCACUUAGGGGCGAGCGGAACAAAUGGUGGAGCGGUGAAAUGCGUAGAUAUCAUUUGGAACGCCAAUGGUGAAAACAGCUCGCUGGGAGUGUGCUGACGCUGAGACACGAAAGCCAGGGUAGCGAACGGGAUUAGAUACCCCGGUAGUCCUGGCCGUAAACGAUGUCGACUAGAUCGUAGUGCCUCUGACGGUAUUACGGUCGAAGCAAAAGUGCUAAGUCGACCGCCUGGGAAGUACGGUCGCAAGGCUA